Mycolicibacterium vanbaalenii PYR-1 is the source of this 59-nucleotide non-coding RNA. The record is from Rfam. Lineage: Bacteria; Bacillati; Actinomycetota; Actinomycetes; Mycobacteriales; Mycobacteriaceae.
CGCGGUCUUCGGUAGUGGCUGCCGGAGAGACACUCCGGCAGCUUCGAUCGACGGCCGUC